Molecule: long non-coding RNA, 195 nt
Organism: Fundulus heteroclitus (mummichog)
Lineage: Eukaryota; Metazoa; Chordata; Actinopteri; Cyprinodontiformes; Fundulidae
Exons: 3
Source: RefSeq, a predicted model, not a curated record
UGCUGCUUUCUCUUUGCUCCUCUUUCUCUUCUUCAGUCUCCUAGAGCAGCGAGGAUCGUUGGACUCACAGCAACAGAGGAGACGGGAGAAGAUGAUCUGCAGGAUCCUGCUGCUCAUCAUCCUCAACACAUGUCUCUGUGCAGCAACAUUUGUAGUGAAUGUGACACAGAGCUCCUAUCAGGCAAAGGAGAACCA